AUACGGAGGAUGCAAGCGUUAUCCGGAUUUAUUGGGUUUAAAGGGUGCGUAGGCGGUUUGCUAAGCGGGAGGUGAAAUGCCGGCGCUCAACGUCGGAAGUGCCUCCCGAACUGGUGGACUUGAAUGACUCUGCCGUGGGAGGAAUGUGUAGUGUAGCGGUGAAAUGCUUAGAGAUUACACAGAACACCGAUUGCGAAGGCAUCUCACGAAGGGUUGAUUGACGCUGAGGCACGAAAGCGUGGGGAUCAAACAGGAUUAGAUACCCUGGUAGUCCACGCAGUAAACGAUGAUGGCUAACCGCUGGAUCCAUCGGUUCAGUGGCCAAGCGAAAGCGAUAAGCCAUCCACCUGGGGAGUACGACCGCAAGGUUGAAACUCAAAGGAAUUGGCGGGG
Molecule: ribosomal RNA, 393 nt
Filed under: uncultured bacterium
Lineage: Bacteria
Description: partial 16S ribosomal RNA
Rfam family: Bacterial small subunit ribosomal RNA
Source: RNAcentral